RNAcentral lists this ribosomal RNA (441 nucleotides) under uncultured bacterium. RNAcentral describes it as "bacterial SSU rRNA". It matches the Rfam family "Bacterial small subunit ribosomal RNA", at positions 958 to 1400 of the family's 1533-position model. The record is from RNAcentral.
AACGCGAAGAACCUUACCCAGGCUUGACAUGCAGAAGACGACGUCAGAGAUGAUGUUUUCCUUCGGGACUUCUGCACAGGUGCUGCAUGGCUGUCGUCAGCUCGUGCCGUGAGGUGUUGGGUUAAGUCCCGCAACGAGCGCAACCCUUAUCACUAGUUGCCAACAUUUAAGGUGGGAACUCUAGUGAGACUGCCCGGGUUAACCGGGAGGAAGGUGAGGAUGACGUCAAGUCCGCAUGGCCCUUAUGUCUGGGGCUACACACGUGCUACAAUGGCCGGUACAGAAGGCAGCGAAGCCGCGAGGUGGAGCAAAUCCAAAAAGCCGGUCCCAGUUCGGAUUGUAGUCUGCAACUCGACUACAUGAAGUUGGAAUUGCUAGUAAUGGCGUAUCAGCAACAACGCCGUGAAUACGUUCCCGGGCCUUGUACACACCGCACUACUA